GACGUAGGGGGCAAGCGUUGUCCGGAGUUACUGGGCGUAAAGCGCACGCAGGCGGUCGUCUGCGUAGACGGGGACAGGGGUCGGCUUAACUGACCCAGGCCCGGCUAAACGGGGCGACUUGAGCACGAGCGAGGGAGCGGGAAUUCCGGGUGGAGCGGUGAAAUGCGUAGAGAUCCGGAAGAACACCGAAGGCGAAGGCACGCUCCUGGCUCGGAGCUGACGCUCAGGUGCGAAAGCGAGGGGAGCAAACAGG
This 253-nucleotide ribosomal RNA is filed under the name uncultured bacterium. Its description in RNAcentral is "partial 16S ribosomal RNA". It matches the Rfam family "Bacterial small subunit ribosomal RNA", at positions 524 to 776 of the family's 1533-position model. The record is from RNAcentral.